This is a long non-coding RNA of Mustela lutreola (European mink), 2695 nucleotides long. RefSeq lists it as uncharacterized. The transcript is spliced from 2 exons. Lineage: Eukaryota; Metazoa; Chordata; Mammalia; Carnivora; Mustelidae. The record is from RefSeq and is a predicted model, not a curated record.
AGCCUGGACGGCACCUUCCCCACGCUGUGUGGUCAGGAGAUGCCCUCUGAGCGAGGCUCACUUAGGUUGGUUUUAACUCUAUAAACAACAGCCAGAUUAAGUGGAUUGUGUUCUUAUUUAAAGAAAUAGUAUUCUCAACUAUAAGAAUUUUGAUAAAUCCAAAUUUGAGAAAUUCCAAGAUUUUUUUUUUUUUUUUUUUUUAGCAAAAACGGGCUUUACUCUAUACAUUCCCAUAAAGAUGAGCUUAUUUCAUUUUUCUUUUUAGAUGGGUUCAUAUUUUUGUUACCAAAAUAACUUGUUCCCCUCUUUUAGCCACUCUCCCCGAGACGCUGGCUUUAGCUAGUACGUGGGAGGUGAAGGCCGGGGACCAAGGAGGCGCUACACGUGAGCCUGAGUGCGGGGUGCUCAGAGGAGAGUCUGGAGGGACACGGGGCUGCCAGACAGGAAUCUCGUUACCACACUUCCUAUCAAGGAAGCAGACAGGGAGGAGGAGAGGGCACUUGGGAACGUUUUUCCUUUUUUCUCUUUUCAUAGGGGGUAAUGCUGGCAGAGAAACAGAAAAGGCAGAAGCUUGAAAACAUGGCCUAUGGGCACGUUUUAGGGAAACACUGUCAUCAACAGUUCGGGCCUCCAGGUUUCCUAGCAGGAACUGCACUAGAGACCAUUUGUCAGCAGGAGGGGGUCUCUCUGCCACCAGGAGUGCCACCAGGAAUGUCAGAGUCACAAAGCACAGUUGGGUGUAUGCCAUGGUUCCCAACCUCCAUGUUGGAGGAGGACUGGGUUUGGUGGCCGCCCCAACCCUGUCCUUUUCUGUCCCCACCAUGCAGCCCCUGGGUCUCUGCCCUCUCACUAGAUCUGGAAAAUGGGCCAUUUCCAUAGGUCACUCCCACAGGACGCAACUCACUGGUCCUCAGUCCACAGAAAACCUGUGGGGCCUGCUGUGCUGGGCUUUGCUUUCCAAUUCCUCUUCCCUACAUCCUCCAUGGGACCUCCUGUUGCCAUGGAUUUUUGAACACGAUCGCAGAGAGAGCAUCACUGCCAUUCGGUCUGCCCAAGACCCUGCAGCCGAGACUCUCCAGCCAAGGGACUGCCCUCCCUUCCUGUCAUUAGGGCCACACUAUCCUUUCUAAAUCAUUUUGCUAGUUUCCUCAUGGUUUCUGAAUUAGGGUCAAGCGUCCGACACUCACCACACGUGGCUGCCCACAAUGUCGGUUUUCACGUGUGUCUGUUUUCUCCCCACCCCCUUCUUUUAGAUUGUCCCAUUCCUGUCCUUCUAGCCACCUACGAAGUCCACAGAGCCUCCCUUCCUCUCUUCUGUCAGAUUCUUUGCAGAAGGAAAGAAAGUCAUUUCCCCUGGCAGAGCCAUUCUGCACUUCUCACUGAUGACUCAACCUCCCUGGCCUCAGUUUCUUCAUUUGUCGACAAAAUGCCUCCAUGGUCACUGUGUUUCAGCUGUUUAAAAAACAAAACAAACAAAACCAGUUUUCUGUGAAAGAGGCGGGUUUGGCCUUAAGGCUUCCCAUGUGUGCCACUUCCUAAUAGGGAUCCCGGCGGGGCCAGCUCUAUGCCAUCAGGCAUUUUCACUGGUAGCGGAUCAAGUCUGCAUCUGGAUGUGACCACGGGUUGCAAGAACGUGGAUUUCUGCGCCAUGGGAAAACCGAGCACUUUCACAAUGGGAAUGAUGGGAGGUUAUCAGACACUGAGAUUACUUUUGCAAACGGAGCUUUCCGUGCAAAGGAAAUUAAGCUCUAUUGUGCAUCAGGCUUUCGUCAGGGGCUCCCCCUUCUUCUCUGCAUAAACCCUGUGAAAAGCUCCGUCUGUGUCUGUCUGUUGGGCAGCGCCGGGCUAACACCCGGGGAAGGAGGGCUGGGCUGACGGCACUUGCUCAGUGCGACCCUGUGCUGCAGACUAUCACAUGCUCUAGUGGGCUUACAAGGCGACAAUCAGGAGGUGGCACAUUAGGUCUGAUCAAGGAUCAAAGUACAAAUUUAGGGCGGACAGAUACUGAUCAAAGAGUGCAGGCGAAAAUAAAGGAGUGACUCUGAGAAGACCCACUAAUGUCCAGUUCUCUUUCUCUGGCCUUCUUUGACCAGCUAACCUCGGGGCAGCUGUUUUUAUUAUGCCCACCGUAUGAAUAAGUACAGAAAUGACUGCGACUCAGGGGCCAUCAUACAGAAAGAUCAUUUGAAGCUGGUCAUGCAGUAUUAUGAAGAACUCCUUUGUCUCAGAAAAAGAGAAGCGAGGAAGAGCAUGCGGGUGUCCACCGGGAAGGCCGUGGAAACACUGAGCUGAGAACGAAUGGCAGCAGAACACGGGACUCAUCACUGGCAGGUGAUGGGAUAUAGUCCCGAAAGCCAGGCAGCUGUCACUUACUAAAAGAUUUGAAAGUGCUUCAAAUGCAUGGAUAAAUGUGAUGUGCUUAAGAGAAGGCUCCUGCUCGCUAGAUCCUGCCACAUUCACAAAGCAGGUUUUCAGCUGCGAGCCAGGGCACGGAAUGGUCAGGACAGUCUGCCUAGAAACGUACUGGAACGCGGUGUUUCAACCAACCACAGUGUCAAUUUCCCAGAACAACUCUGAGGACAGAGGCUCUCUUGUGGCUGGGACGAUCCGUGCUAUAUUUAUGUGUGGAGAUGAUGGAAUAGAGUUAAAAGGCUUUGCGGGUUAUCGGUCAAACUAAAAAAAUCUUGUUUUAAAA